RNAcentral lists this unclassified non-coding RNA (253 nucleotides) under uncultured Sphingobacteriales bacterium. RNAcentral describes it as "contains 16S-23S intergenic spacer region". It matches the Rfam family "Bacterial small subunit ribosomal RNA", at positions 524 to 776 of the family's 1533-position model. The record is from RNAcentral. Lineage: Bacteria; Pseudomonadati; Bacteroidota; Sphingobacteriia; Sphingobacteriales.
GACGAAGGAUGCAAGCGUUAUCCGGAUUCAUUGGGUUUAAAGGGAGCGUAGGUGGUCUGCUAAGUCAGUGGUGAAAUCUCUGGGCUUAACUCAGAAAUUGCCAUUGAUACUGGUAGACUUGAGUGCAGUUGCCGUUGGCGGAAUAUGACAUGUAGUGGUGAAAUACAUAGAGAUGUCAUAGAACACCGAUUGCGAAGGCAGCUAACGAAACUGUAACUGACACUGAGGCUCGAAAGUGCGGGGAUCAAACAGG